This 253-nucleotide ribosomal RNA is filed under the name uncultured bacterium. RNAcentral's name for it is "partial 16S ribosomal RNA". It matches the Rfam family "Bacterial small subunit ribosomal RNA", at positions 524 to 776 of the family's 1533-position model. The record is from RNAcentral.
UACAGAGGGUGCGAGCGUUAAUCGGAAUUACUGGGCGUAAAGCGCACGUAGGUGGCGACGUAAGUCGGGUGUGAAAGCCCCGGGCUCAACCUGGGAAUUGCAUUCGAGACUGCAUUGCUGGAGUACGGAAGAGGAAGGCGGAAUUCCCGGUGUAGCGGUGAAAUGCGUAGAUAUCGGGAGGAACAUCGGUGGCGAAAGCGCCUUGCUGGGUCUGCACUGACACUGAGGGACGAAAGCUAGGGGAGCGAAAGGG